This is a non-coding RNA of Megalops atlanticus (tarpon), 71 nucleotides long. The record is from the annotation of a GenBank genome assembly. Lineage: Eukaryota; Metazoa; Chordata; Actinopteri; Elopiformes; Megalopidae.
GGCAGUGUAGCUUAGUGGUUAAGGAGCACGACUCAUAACCGAAAGGUUGCCAGUUCAAUUCCCCACUGCUG